This 206-nucleotide ribosomal RNA is filed under the name uncultured bacterium. RNAcentral's name for it is "partial 16S ribosomal RNA". It matches the Rfam family "Bacterial small subunit ribosomal RNA", at positions 568 to 774 of the family's 1533-position model. The record is from RNAcentral.
CUCGUAGGUGGCCAACUAAGUCAGACGUGAAAUCCCUCGGCUUAACCGGGGAACUGCGUCUGAUACUGGAUGGCUUGAGAUUGGGAGAGGGAUGCGGAAUUCCAGGUGUAGCGGUGAAAUGCGUAGAUAUCUGGAGGAACACCGGUGGCGAAGGCGGCAUCCUGGACCAACACUGACACUGAGGAGCGAAAGCCAGGGAGCAAACG